Long non-coding RNA from Athalia rosae (coleseed sawfly), 851 nucleotides. RefSeq lists it as uncharacterized. The record is from RefSeq and is a predicted model, not a curated record. NCBI's taxonomy places the organism in Eukaryota, Metazoa, Arthropoda, Insecta, Hymenoptera, Athaliidae. The transcript has 3 exons.
UAAUUAAAGAAUCAGAAAAAAUCGGAAAAAAUCAGAAAAAAUCAGAAAAACUUAGAAAAAAAUUGGGAAUGAAUCUGGGAUGGUGUAGCUUCAGUUGCGUAUCAUAAAACGCUUCCAGGGCCGGAGGAAGAUGCGGUAACCCCCCAGACCAGGGAAAAUUGAGGGAAUUCAUUUGAUUUAUUAUCUCUAAGGCGUGACGUACGGAAACAUGUAUAAAGUGCAGCGUAGUCUACUCUCCCCCUUGAAUCUUCAAACAUUUCUCAAAAGGUGGUAUAGAACACAAGGAGUGCAUGUUCGGAUUGCCCCGAGCCCAACAGGUUACCUGCAUCUCAGAGGUCUAGCGGUAAGCUUCAAGAGGAUCCAUUCGGGCUGAGUCAUCCUGCACAAAGAACUGACAAAGGGUGGACCUGUAGGCUUCCACUUUCGAUCGAAAGUCUGCAAUUAUACAAGUAUCUAGUCAAACAUCCCUUCCGCCAGUAUUAAUCCAUCUGUUAAAAUCUCUGAUAUGUCUAUCCUUUGUAUCAUGCAGGUCCAAAAAGUUUAAUUUUCAAGACCUACAUCCUAGAGCUUAGAAUUAUUCUUUCUUUUUGUAUGGAAGAAUUAUUAAAUGCUUAAAUACACAGGCAGACAUAUGCCAAGUCCUGCAAGGAACCAGUUGCUCUCCUUAUCAUACUAGGAUAUUAGUAGAUUUGGUGUGUAGGGAUGUGAUUGAUAGUGAAUCAACAAUUUUAUAUUCAAAGUAGUUCAGUAUAUUGAUAAGUCAAAGGUCCAAAAUACAUGUUCGAACAUCGUGAUACAUAUUAUGGAUUCAUUCUCACAAAUAUAUUCAUACCUUUAUGAUCACAAUGUAA